AAACUUUCAACAACGGAUCUCUUGGCUCUGGCAUCGAUGAAGAACGCAGCGAAAUGCGAUACGUAAUGUGAAUUGCAGAAUUCAGCGAACCAUCGAAUCUUUGAACGCACAUUGCGCCCGCCAGCAUUCUGGCGGGCAUGCCUGUCCGAGCGUCAUU
RNAcentral lists this ribosomal RNA (157 nucleotides) under Sporothrix schenckii. RNAcentral's name for it is "5.8S ribosomal RNA". It matches the Rfam family "5.8S ribosomal RNA". From Rfam's summary of the family: 5.8S ribosomal RNA (5.8S rRNA) is a component of the large subunit of the eukaryotic ribosome. It is transcribed by RNA polymerase I as part of the 45S precursor that also contains 18S and 28S rRNA. Functionally, it is thought that 5.8S rRNA may be involved in ribosome translocation. The record is from RNAcentral. Lineage: Eukaryota; Fungi; Ascomycota; Sordariomycetes; Ophiostomatales; Ophiostomataceae.